UACGUAGGGCGCAAGCGUUGUCCGGAAUUAUUGGGCGUAAAGAGCUCGUAGGCGGCUUGUCACGUCGGGUGUGAAAUCUCGGGGCUUAACUCCGAAACUGCAUUCGAUACUGCCGUGCUUGAGGACUGGAGAGGAGACUGGAAUUUACGGUGUAGCGGUGAAAUGCGUAGAUAUCGUAAGGAAGACCAGUGGCGAAGGCGGCAUCCUGGACCGGUAUUGACGCUGAGUGAGCGAAAGCCAGGGGAGCAAACGGG
This 254-nucleotide ribosomal RNA is filed under the name uncultured bacterium. RNAcentral's name for it is "partial 16S ribosomal RNA". It matches the Rfam family "Bacterial small subunit ribosomal RNA", at positions 524 to 776 of the family's 1533-position model. The record is from RNAcentral.